This 431-nucleotide ribosomal RNA is filed under the name uncultured bacterium. RNAcentral describes it as "partial 16S ribosomal RNA". It matches the Rfam family "Bacterial small subunit ribosomal RNA", at positions 29 to 507 of the family's 1533-position model. The record is from RNAcentral.
AACGAACGCUGGCGGCAGGCUUAACACAUGCAAGUCGAACGCCCCGCAAGGGGAGUGGCAGACGGGUGAGUAACGCGUGGGAACAUACCCUUUUCUACGGAAUAGCUCUGGGAAACUGGAAUUAAUACCGUAUACGCCCUACGGGGGAAAGAUUUAUCGGGGAAGGAUUGGCCCGCGUUGGAUUAGCUAGUUGGUGGGGUAAAGGCCUACCAAGGCGACGAUCCAUAGCUGGUCUGAGAGGAUGAUCAGCCACAUUGGGACUGAGACACGGCCCAAACUCCUACGGGAGGCAGCAGUGGGGAAUAUUGGACAAUGGGCGCAAGCCUGAUCCAGCCAUGCCGCGUGAGUGAUGAAGGCCUUAGGGUUGUAAAACUCUUUCACCGAUGAAGAUAAUGACGGUAGUCGGAGAAGAAGCCCCGGCUAACUUCGUG